RNAcentral lists this ribosomal RNA (493 nucleotides) under uncultured bacterium. RNAcentral's name for it is "partial 16S ribosomal RNA". It matches the Rfam family "Bacterial small subunit ribosomal RNA", at positions 28 to 506 of the family's 1533-position model. The record is from RNAcentral.
GACGAACGCUGGCGGCGCGCUUAACACAUGCAAGUCGAACGGAAAGGCCUGCUUUCCCUUGUGGAUUGCGGGUACUCGAGUGGCGAACGGGUGAGUAACACGUGAGUGAUCUGCCCCCAACUUGGGUAUAAGCCUGGGAAACUGGGUCUAAUUCCCGAUAGGACUGCAGGGUGGUGCCUGUGGUGGAAAACGAUUUUCUAGUGGUUGGUGAUGAGCUCGCGGCCUAUCAGCUUGUUGGUGGGGUAAUGGCCUACCAAGGCGGCGACGGGUAGCCGGCCUGGGAGGGUGGACGGGCACAUUGGGACUGGGAUACGGCCCAGACUGCUACGGGAGGCAGCAGUGGGGAAUAUUGCACAAUGGGCGGAAGCCUGAUGCAGCGACGACGCGUGGGGGAUGACGGCCUUCGGGUUGUAAACUCCUUUCGACCGCGAGGAAGCCACCUGGUUGGAAGGGUGGUGACGGUAGUGGUAGAAGAAGCACCGGCUAACUACGU